This 74-nucleotide transfer RNA is filed under the name Paracerasibacillus soli. Its description in RNAcentral is "tRNA-Gly". It matches the Rfam family "tRNA". Rfam says of the family: Transfer RNA (tRNA) molecules are approximately 80 nucleotides in length. Their secondary structure includes four short double-helical elements and three loops (D, anti-codon, and T loops). Lineage: Bacteria; Bacillati; Bacillota; Bacilli; Caryophanales; Bacillaceae. The record is from RNAcentral. RNAcentral also lists the same sequence under 1 other name.
GCGGGUGUAGUUUAGUGGUAAAACUACAGCCUUCCAAGCUGUUGUCGAGGGUUCGAUUCCCUUCACCCGCUCCA